GCUGAAGCCAGUCGAAGAUACCAGCUGGCUGCAACUGUUUAUUAAAAACACAGCACUGUGCAAACACGAAAGUGGACGUAUACGGUGUGACGCCUGCCCGGUGCUGGAAGGUUAAUUGAUGGGGUUAGCCGUAAGGCGAAGCUCCUGAUCGAAGCCCCAGUAAACGGCGGCCGUAACUAUAACGGUCCUAAGGUAGCGAAAUUCCUUGUCGGGUAAGUUCCGACCUGCACGAAUGGCGUAAUGAUGGCCAGGCUGUCUCCACCCGAGACUCAGUGAAAUUGAACUCGCUGUGAAGAUGCAGUGUACCCGCGGCAAGACGGAAAGACCCCGUGAACCUUUACUAUAGCUUGACACUGAACAUUGAGCCUUGAUGUGUAGGAUAGGUGGGAGGCUUUGAAGUGUGGACGCCAGUCUGCAUGGAGCCAACCUUGAAAUACCACCCUUUAACGUUUGAUGUUCUAACCUAGGCCCAUAAACUGGGUCGGGGACCGUGUCUGGUGGGUAGUUUGACUGGGGCGGUCUCCUCCUAAAGAGUAACGGAGGAGCACGAAGGUUGGCUAAGCAUGGUCGGACAUCAUGCGGUUAGUGCAAAGGCAUAAGCCAGCUUGACUGCGAGAGUGACGGCUCGAGCAGGUACGAAAGUAGGUCUUAGUGAUCCGGUGGUUCUGAAUGGAAGGGCCAUCGCUCAACGGAUAAAAGGUACUCCGGGGAUAACAGGCUGAUACCGCCCAAGAGUUCAUAUCGACGGCGGUGUUUGGCACCUCGAUGUCGGCUCAUCACAUCCUGGGGCUGAAGUAGGUCCCAAGGGUAUGGCUGUUCGCCAUUUAAAGUGGUACGCGAGCUGGGUUUAGAACGUCGUGAGACAGUUCGGUCCCUAUCUGCCGUGGGCGUUGGAAGAUUGAGAGGGGUUGCUCCUAGUACGAGAGGACCGGAGUGAACGCACCACUGGUGUUCGGGUUGUCAUGCCAAUGGCAUUGCCCGGUAGCUAAGUGCGGAAGAGAUAACCGCUGAAAGCAUCUAAGCGGGAAACUUGCCUCGAGAUGAGUCUUCCCUGUCGCUUUAAGCGACCUAAAGGAACGUUUAAGACUAAGACGUUGAUAGGCUGGGUGUGUAAGCGUAGCGAUACGUUGAGCUAACCAGUACUAAUGAACCGUGAGGCUUAACCUG
Molecule: ribosomal RNA, 1167 nt
Filed under: Proteus mirabilis
Lineage: Bacteria; Pseudomonadati; Pseudomonadota; Gammaproteobacteria; Enterobacterales; Morganellaceae
Description: partial 23S ribosomal RNA
Rfam family: Bacterial large subunit ribosomal RNA
Source: RNAcentral